GACGAACGCUGGCGGCGUGCUUAACACAUGCAAGUCGAACGGAAAGGCCCUGCUUUUGUGGGGUGCUCGAGUGGCGAACGGGUGAGUAACACGUGAGUAACCUGCCCUUGACUUUGGGAUAACUUCAGGAAACUGGGGCUAAUACCGGAUAGGAGCUCCUGCUGCAUGGUGGGGGUUGGAAAGUUUCGGCGGUUGGGGAUGGACUCGCGGCUUAUCAGCUUGUUGGUGGGGUAGUGGCUUACCAAGGCUUUGACGGGUAGCCGGCCUGAGAGGGUGACCGGCCACAUUGGGACUGAGAUACGGCCCAGACUGCUACGGGAGGCAGAAGUGGGGAAUAUUGCACAAUGGGCGGAAGCCUGAUGCAGCAACGCCGCGUGCGGGAUGACGGCCUUCGGGUUGUAAACCGCUGUCGCCUGUGACGAAGCGUGAGUGACGGUAAUGGGUAAAGAAGCACCGGCUAACUACGUG
Molecule: ribosomal RNA, 468 nt
Filed under: uncultured bacterium
Lineage: Bacteria
Description: partial 16S ribosomal RNA
Rfam family: Bacterial small subunit ribosomal RNA
Source: RNAcentral